Molecule: long non-coding RNA, 705 nt
Filed under: Rattus norvegicus (Norway rat)
Lineage: Eukaryota; Metazoa; Chordata; Mammalia; Rodentia; Muridae
Description: long non-coding RNA NONRATT033283
Source: RNAcentral
GGUGGGCUUAGAAGAUUUGCGUAACAGGAAGCUGCUGAAUAUUGGGCGGGUCCAGCAGGAGUUGCUCCCAGAAAUCCGCGGAAGUGACAGGAAGUUCCGCCCUCCCGCCUUUCUCCAUGUGUCUUGGCUUCCUCGCGUUCAGGAAGUCCUGGUGGGAGACUAGGCCUGAGUCCUCCAGGUACCUGAAAACUUCCUGGAGCUGCAGUUGCGGUGCCGGCUUCCUGGGACAUUCAUCAGCUCGUCCUGUCACCCUGCCAGGUCUCCAUAUGCUCAGAAAUUCUGCAUAAUUGUAAAUCAAAACUAAGAGCCCUGGAUGGUAAAGACCAAAGAGACUUCUAACAAAGGAUCCAGGUAUCACCACAGAAUACACUGUCAGUUUUCUUCUUCCUGAACUGAAAACCAAGAUUCACAAGAAAUAUGCUUCAUUAUGUAGAUACCUUUUUCAUCUGUUCUCACUUCCAGCAAGGAUUUUAUUGUGGACUUCUUUGAAGAUUGUUCAGUGAAUUUUUGCUCGUUGUGAGGUUGUGUUCCUUAGGACUUUUAAUUUGGAAGGUUUUGCUGGCCUUGUGAGUAGCAACUUACGGUUCACAUUGUUCUCCAUUCCUAGUGUGGGCUAGAGCUUUACUGUGUUGUUCAUGACGAAUCAUUCCUAGUUUUCAGGUACUCAUUCAUUCUUCACAAGAAAAGUUUUAUUUCCUAUGGCCU